Molecule: ribosomal RNA, 451 nt
Filed under: uncultured Fibrobacter sp.
Lineage: Bacteria; Pseudomonadati; Fibrobacterota; Fibrobacteria; Fibrobacterales; Fibrobacteraceae
Description: bacterial SSU rRNA
Rfam family: Bacterial small subunit ribosomal RNA
Source: RNAcentral
ACGGAAGGCAGCAGUGGGGAAUAUUGCACAAUGGGGGAAACCCUGAUGCAGCAACGCCACGUGUGGGAAGAAGCAUUUCGGUGUGUAAACCACUGUCGUGAAGGAAUAAUGCUGGACCUCGGUCCAGUUGAAUGUACUUUGAAAGGAAGCACCGGCAAACUUCGUGCCAGCAGCCGCGGUGAUACGAGGGGUGCAAGCGUUGUUCGGAAUCACUGGGCGUAAAGGGAGCGCAGGCGGAGAUGCAAGCAGUCUGUGCAAUACCGGGGCCCAACCCCGGACCUGCAGACGGGACUGUUUCUCUUGGAUAGCUCAGGGGCUGGCGGAAUUCCUGGUGUAGCGGUGGAAUGCGUAGAGAUCAGGAAGAACACCGAUGGCGAAGGCAGCCAGCUGGGGGCUUAUCGACGCUCAUGCUCGAAAGUGCGGGUAGCAAACAGGAUUAGAUACCCUGGUA